GCCUUUGUAGCUCAGUUGGUUAGAGAGCUGCACCGGAACUGCAGGGCUACAAGUUUGAUUCCUGCCAGAGGACA
RNAcentral lists this transfer RNA (74 nucleotides) under Paramuricea clavata. RNAcentral describes it as "tRNA-Ser". It matches the Rfam family "tRNA". From Rfam's summary of the family: Transfer RNA (tRNA) molecules are approximately 80 nucleotides in length. Their secondary structure includes four short double-helical elements and three loops (D, anti-codon, and T loops). Further hydrogen bonds mediate the characteristic L-shaped molecular structure. tRNAs have two regions of fundamental functional importance: the anti-codon, which is responsible for specific mRNA codon recognition, and the 3' end, to which the tRNAs corresponding amino acid is attached (by aminoacyl-tRNA synthetases). tRNAs cope with the degeneracy of the genetic code in two manners: having more than one tRNA (with a specific anti-codon) for a particular amino acid; and 'wobble' base-pairing, i.e. permitting non-standard base-pairing at the 3rd anti-codon position. Lineage: Eukaryota; Metazoa; Cnidaria; Anthozoa; Malacalcyonacea; Plexauridae. The record is from RNAcentral.